Molecule: long non-coding RNA, 294 nt
Filed under: Lepisosteus oculatus (spotted gar)
Lineage: Eukaryota; Metazoa; Chordata; Actinopteri; Semionotiformes; Lepisosteidae
Description: lncRNA (ENSLOCG00000021782.1)
Source: RNAcentral
GUGGCAUGAAGAAAUUGGGUGGGGCUGGAAGCACGAAGUUCAGCCAAUAAUCACAGACAUUACCAAAAAAGGUAGAAAAAGUAUUGGGAUCCAGUGUUCCAGCACUGUAUAAAUAAUGUAGAAACAGAAGUACCUGAACAACCACCUGAGGGACCUGGAACAACGUUUGGAAGAAGCUUUCAGGAGCUCAAAACUGUGAGUUAUCCUUCUCAUAGAAGAUUCUCUGCUCAGUUCCCACCUUAAUCUGCUACCACAACAUGGCGGUAAGACCAGCUAAUUUUUUCUUCUGUUUCA